AUUGAACGCUGGCGGCAGGCCUAACACAUGCAAGUCGAGCGGAUGAAGGGAGCUUGCUCCUGGAUUCAGCGGCGGACGGGUGAGUAAUGCCUAGGAAUCUGCCUGGUAGUGGGGGAUAACGUCCGGAAACGGGCGCUAAUACCGCAUACGUCCUGAGGGAGAAAGUGGGGGAUCUUCGGACCUCACGCUAUCAGAUGAGCCUAGGUCGGAUUAGCUAGUUGGUGGGGUAAAGGCCUACCAAGGCGACGAUCCGUAACUGGUCUGAGAGGAUGAUCAGUCACACUGGAACUGAGACACGGUCCAGACUCCUACGGGAGGCAGCAGUGGGGAAUAUUGGACAAGGGGCGAAAGCCUGAUCCAGCCAUGCCGCGUGUGUGAAGAAGGUCUUCGGAUCGUAAAGCACUUUAAGUUGGGAGGAAGGGCAGUAAGUUAAUACCUUGCUGUUUUGACGUUACCAACAGAAUAAGCACCGGCUAACUUCG
Molecule: ribosomal RNA, 482 nt
Filed under: uncultured bacterium
Lineage: Bacteria
Description: partial 16S ribosomal RNA
Rfam family: Bacterial small subunit ribosomal RNA
Source: RNAcentral